GCGCAUACACGCUCGUUAAUGGGCUUAGGUAUUAGCGAGUCCUAACGAUGCAUACAAAUGUGCUCUGCGCUCUGUAGGCCCCUCAAGAUUUAUGGGCCUUGAGCUCUCUGAAGCUGUAAACAAGGAGAAAAAAAAGAGAAAGAGAGAGAGAGACUGGGGGAAAGAGACAGAGGCCUGACUCACCCCUCCAGGUUGUGGGAGAGAAGGGAGCUUUGCAAGUGGGUUCUUAUGUAUUUUGCUUUCCUUACAAGCUGGUUGUGCGUGGGUCUGGGCAUUGGGCUGGGGCUGGGGCUGGGGCGGUGGUUGCCUGAACGCUGGUGUGCGUGGGCAGCGUGUUGUUUGCCAGCCGGGGUGGAAGGCCGCCUGCAUCCUGUGAAUGGCUGUGCAGGGCCUGCAUCCAGCAGGCAUCUGUGGGCAUUUACCUGGAGUGUGUGCACUGUGCUAGGGGUGUGUGUGUGUGUGUGUGGGAGAGAGAGAGAGAGAGAGAAAGAGAGAGACAAGCAGGCCUCCCUCCGGGCCUGGCUGCUGUCCCCUGAACCCCGUGAACAAAUCUCUACCAACAAUCAUAAUAACAAUAAAUAAUAAAUAACAAUAAAACAGUAGUUAACAGUCCCUCCCUAGCAGGAUAACAAUAAAAUGCAAGAGGAGAGAUUUUGAGGAGGGGCCAGGGGACCGAGUCACCAUCACAGCAUCUGAGGGGAAGACAAGGGAGGGAGGAGGCAAGUUAGCUUCUUCCUAUAUGCCCUGGGGGCGCCGGGUUUGGGAACCCCUGUCCGCCCGGGUCCUCCGGCCAGAGGAGGAGAGGGAGAGCCAGGAGGCCGCUCCGCCUGCUGCUUUUUCGCCGGCUUUGGCUUUGUGCGAUCAGGGCAGGGCUCCCACAUGUGGGGGUGAUUAGUGGCUUUGGGGAGUCUCUGGAGCCCCCGUUUUGAAGAGGAGGGCGAGCGAACAGGGUGAGGCGAGGGGGCAGAGGGGGGUGAGGCGGUGGCCGAGCGGGUCGGCCCCUCUGGGGACACAGGUGCCGGGCGGCCGCGCGGGUCGGACGGAAGCAGGAAAGCACAUACGGCCCCGGGAGCCGGAGAGCAGGGCCGGGUUUCCGGUAGGCCCGGGCAGGUUCCCUUUCUAGGGGCUUUUCAAACACACAAGCAAAGAAAAACGACAACGACAGCAACAACAACAAGACAACAAAAAAACCCAAAGAGCAAAAGAAGGAGAAGAAGGAAGGAGGGGUUGAGGCGCUGAAUUGUCCUUGGUGCGCUUGGAGCCAGCGGAUUUCCAGAAAGGAAGAGGAGACCGCGAUCCCGGAUCCCUCCACGUUCGCCUCAUUCUCUCCAGAUUCUGAGUGGUCUCUCGGACCACCCGAAGAGCCCCCUGGAGUCCCAGUUGCUCACCUCCUCAGCCCCAACCCAGGACAGAGAACUACAGCCGGCAUCACGACAGUCCUGACCACAGACAGGGCCACUUGGCCGGUCGUGGAGAUCCUGGACGUUGCAGCUCAGACUACGCAGACUCCGAGCUCUCCACCUCCCUGUCCAAGCACACACAGUCGCUCCUGGGAAGAAGCCAGUCCAGGCUGGAGAACACAAGAGCCAGUUUUACAUCCUGUGGACAUACAGACAGGGGCCUACUUCUUCAGUGGCUUCUACAGUGGCCAAUCCAAGGGCACGUACACUUGGCAUCUUCAUCUCUCUGAAUUCAGUUUUCCUGGCAGCCCCUGUGAUCUCUCACAUAAUGACUACCCUCACCACCUGGAGUCCACCCCUUUCCUGAAACUAGAAAUAUUCCCAUAGUUUGGGCCUCGGGGUUCUAGAGGAGUCCUUGAGUUCCCACUUCCCCAAGCACAGUCUACCUUUCUCGCAAGGGUCAGCCAACGUGACUCUGAGAAGUAUCUAGAGAUUAAUCUUCAGAACCCCUCACUCCCUGAGCUUCCCCCACCAAGCGCUGCCUUUCUGGUUCUAUCCGUGUUUGAUGAAGUAUCCCAGCGGUGCUUUUGUAUUUGAAAGGAUGUGAUCUGCAGAGGACUGCACUUAACACCAUGUGCUCUAAUGGUGGGACUCACGGCAUUUCCCUGGCGAGGUAAUUGGGGAGGGGGAAACAGAGUCUUCCCAGGGGCUUUAAACUGCAUCACUGCAUAAGGCUGAUCCUGCAUCUCAUUAUCCAUUAACUUCAGACGAAAGCUAUAAAAUGGGAUCCCUUUAUUCUGAUAUUUGAAACUAAGCAGAUAGGGGGCUAAUUUCUCCGCUUUUACCUGACCGCUGGCAUCAGGCAAAUACCCUCCCAUUGUCUUGCCCCAUCUUGUCUCUGCCUGCCUCCUCUCUGGGUCAGGGUCCCUAAGGGAAACAGCUCCCCGUGGUGUGCCGGCAGGGGCUCUGCGGAAAAGGUUGAGUUGUCAAAUGAGGAGACACCACAGCUAACACCCCCUCUUCCCCACCCCCCACCAACUCUGGAAUGAAGAUGGAGAGUUUUCUGUGCCUGGUUUGGUUCACGGAGACACAUAGUCCAUCAUUUGAUUUUCUACAAAGAGUAUUCCUUCCCUGCCCCCCAGCAUCCUCUAGUUUUUGCUCAGAGCUGGAAGGAUCUUAGUGAUGACCUAAUCGAACCACUUCACUGUGAAGGAAGGGAAACUGAGGCUCAGACAGAGACCAGAACCCAGGGAUUUUGAUCCCUAAGCUGUGCUGCAUCUGGCUCUCUUUGCACUUCAGCUGGAUACUUUUUAAAUUGCCCCCUCUGGAUGCCAGGAUCCAAGCUGGCUUUUCACGCAGAGAGCACAGGCAGCAGCGACCACCAGAGUGAUGUAGGCCCUCCUGCUUGGUGGCGGCCACUUCUGGGCACAGGCUCCAUCGUGUCCACACUAUGCUCCAUAAUCCCACCGGAGCCCACCUGUGCUUUCUGUGAAGUUGGGGGACUCUGUGCUCCCCCUUUUCUACACCAGCCCCUAGAGCUGGCCAGGGCCUGGAGAGGGGCUGAAGAUCUCAGGCAGGAAGCAAAGGGGUAAGCACAACUUUGUUGCCUCUGAUUUCCCCAUCCCUCCAGCCUCACAUGAGGAAAGAGGUUGUCCCUGAGAGAGAAGUUUCCUUAAUAUGCUGUAAAGCCUUCUCCAAGCUUCAAAGGAAAAAACAAGAACCCUGUCUUCUUGUCCAAUUCUGAGGACUGAAGGUCAGGGAUGGGGGGGUGAGCUUAAUUAGCACAAGGAAUGCUGAUCAUACAUAAGAAGGAACUUGCCAGUACACCCCCCCGCCCCGCCCUGUCCCCAGUCUUCAGACGACUGUCAACUCUGAAUGCACCACGUGAAUUCUCAUCCCCUGGUCCAGGCAAGUCAACCUCACAGGUUCCUUCCAGGCCGAAGAUUCUGGUUACUUGUCCCAGCAUUUGCUGGUCCGUCUAAUCCUAGAUUCCUCGGGCAGUGCUCACUCAGGGCCCCCGGGCCUUGGCCCAGAAACAUCUUUAAGUCUCAUGUUGGCCCUAAACAAUGUCCACAUCCCUAAGAAACAAAACGAAAUUGAACCAGUUCAGGGACAGAACUGAACUGUCCACUGCUGUGUGCACAACAGCGCUGGACUGGGAGUCCUGGGGUCGGCUACAGGCUGGAUCACCCUCCUCCCCAAAUUCGUGUGUUGACGGCCUAGUCCCCAGGACCUCGGCGCGCCGGCAUGUGGAGAUGGGCCCUUUGAUGAGCAGCAGAGGUAAGGCGCGGUCACACGGCUGGGCCCUAGUCCAGCCGGACGGGUCUGCUGGUAGGAGGAGGACACGAGGACAUGGACACCGAGGAGAGGCCACCCGAAGCCAGGACCUCGUGGGCAGACCAUCUACGAGCCGAGGACAGAGGGACCCCCAAAGAAACCAACCCUGCCCACACCUUGAUCUUGGACUCCUAAACCUCCAAAACCGCGAAAAAAUAAAUUUCUAUUGUUUAA
Molecule: long non-coding RNA, 3911 nt
Organism: Canis lupus familiaris (dog)
Lineage: Eukaryota; Metazoa; Chordata; Mammalia; Carnivora; Canidae
Exons: 3
Source: RefSeq, a predicted model, not a curated record